This 248-nucleotide ribosomal RNA is filed under the name uncultured bacterium. RNAcentral's name for it is "partial 16S ribosomal RNA". It matches the Rfam family "Bacterial small subunit ribosomal RNA", at positions 791 to 1035 of the family's 1533-position model. The record is from RNAcentral.
UAGUCCACGCCGUAAACGAUGAGUGCUAAGUGUUAGAGGGUUUCCGCCCUUUAGUGCUGCAGCUAACGCAUUAAGCACUCCGCCUGGGGAGUACGGUCGCAAGACUGAAACUCAAAGGAAUUGACGGGGGCCCGCACAAGCGGUGGAGCAUGUGGUUUAAUUCGAAGCAACGCGAAGAACCUUACCAGGUCUUGACAUCCCACUGACCGGUAUAGAGAUAUACCUUUCCCUUCGGGGACAGUGGUGAC